RNAcentral lists this transfer RNA (70 nucleotides) under Crenuchus spilurus (sailfin tetra). RNAcentral's name for it is "tRNA-Pro". It matches the Rfam family "tRNA". Rfam says of the family: Transfer RNA (tRNA) molecules are approximately 80 nucleotides in length. Their secondary structure includes four short double-helical elements and three loops (D, anti-codon, and T loops). Lineage: Eukaryota; Metazoa; Chordata; Actinopteri; Characiformes; Crenuchidae. The record is from RNAcentral.
CAAAAAAUAGUUUAAUUUAGAAUGUUAGCUUUGGGAGCUAGUGGUGGGAGUUAAAAUCUCCUUUUUUUGG